Molecule: ribosomal RNA, 119 nt
Organism: Carlito syrichta (Philippine tarsier)
Lineage: Eukaryota; Metazoa; Chordata; Mammalia; Primates; Tarsiidae
Source: Ensembl
ACCUACAACCAUACCACCUUGAAAGUGCCCAAUCUCAUCUCAUGGUGGAAACUAAGCAGGGUCAGGCAUGGUUAGUAAUUGAAUGGGAGAAUGAGAAUUUUACUAACAGGUUAUAUAUA